CAGGGACUUGCAUUUAAGGUGUUCACUCAAGCAGAACUAGAGCAAGCAACAAACAAGUUUGAGAAAAGCCAGAUUCUUGGACAUGGAGGACAUGGCACAGUGUACAAGGGAAUAACUAAGGAUAACAUUACAGUGGCAAUUAAAAAAUGUGCACUAAUUGAUGAUAGACAUAAGAAGGAAUUCGGUAAAGAAAUGUUAAUACUUUCACAGAUUAACCACAAGAACAUUGUUAAGCUACUGGGUUGCUGUCUUGAGGUGGAUGUCCCGAUGCUAGUGUAUGAGUUCAUUCCAAAUGGAACAUUAUUUGAUCUUAUUCAUGGCAAGAACCGUACUCUUCAUAUCCCUUUCAGUUCUCUCCUAAGAAUUGUUAAUGAGGCAGCUGAAGGGCUUGCAUUUUUACAUUCCUACGCAAAUCCACCAAUUUUGCAUGGUGACGUGAAAACAUCCAAUAUCCUUCUUGAUGAGAAUUACAUGGCAAAGGUAUCAGAUUUUGGCGCCUCCAUAUUAGCACCAAAUGAUGAAGCGCAGUUCGUGACAAUGGUUCAAGGAACAUGUGGAUAUCUGGAUCCUGAAUAUCUACAAACAUGCCAGUUGACAGAGAAGAGUGAUGUGUAUAGCUUUGGUGUGGUCAUCUUGGAGAUCCUUACUGGGCAGAUGCCAUUGAAACUUGAAGGUUCUGAGCUACAGAAAAGCUUGUCAUCAAGCUUCCUAUUGGCAAUGAAGGAGAAUAAUCUUGAGGCCAUGCUAGAUAGCCAAAUUAAAGGUCAUGAGAGCAUGGAACUGCUCAGUGGACUUGCUGAGCUAGCGAAGCAAUGCUUGGACAUGUGCAGUGAGAAUAGGCCAUCAAUGAAAGACGUAGCUGAGGAGAUUAGCAGACUAAGAAAACUUUCGAAACAUCCUUGGAUACAGCGUGAUAGUGAGACAGAGGGCUAUCUCAGUGGACCAUCAACCAGUAACUUUGAAAUUGAGCAAAGCACUGAGUACACAAGGAAGGACGAACAAAUGCCCAUAAACCCAAGCACUUCGUAUUUUAUCCGGUGAUAACAAUCUGUUACAAGAGCUUUCCUGUUUUCCUUAUUGAUUCUUAACAUUAUUCUUUCCAAUUCACUGGUGGUUCUAUAUUGCAACUGCACAAUACUUUCUGUUGGUAUAAUAAUUUGUCGUUGUAUAUGCCCACAACAUUUUUAUCAUUUACCAUUAUUAAACGUAUUCUAUUAUAGUGGCCAAACCAUAUCUCCUCAGGUAAUGUUGUUUAAAUAUUCAACGGAAGUCUUAUAAAGCUCUCAAAACAUUGCAGAACUUGGUGUCUGCUGAAGUUUAUGUUUCCCUUUAUUUCACAAAUGCGACAUGAAUUUAAUCACAAAAAUGACAAGGAACUUACUUGGGGAGUUUGGGGUGUUCUCAGUCCUUGAAAGGCAUUCUCUAUCCUUUCCACCAAUUAGCAAGCGAUGUCUUCAGAUGUGGCAUAUCCUCUGGUUGUGCAAAAGCAAAUCAAUUCGUCUGUCCCCUCCUGCUCGGAAGAAAAAACUGUAAACCAAACCCGAUACACAAAAAAGGGCCGCUCUCACGGAUUCGUUCAAUCGAUGUUGACGAAAUUUGAAGGACGGAUACCUGGAAUGGUCGGAAUCGAUUUGCACCGGCUGGAUGGGAUCGGGACUGAAAUCGGUUCAGAGGCAUCAGAGCCAAGAGGAUUAGGUGCCAAGAGGAUGCAUGCAUCCUCUGAAUGCAGGAAGGAAACGUGACCGUGCCGCCGCCGUUCGUCCGUUCCUCGCCUCGCAGCCUCCGCCUCUCCCCGUCGGCCAUCGGACGCCGAGCCGUCGUCGUUGUCUGCCCGGGUCAAUCCGCGGAGGAUGGAGGCGUAGACCACCGCGAGGCAGGCGCCGAGGCCCCGACCGGCGACCGUGUCCUCCCGCGGCGCCGUGCCUGGUUGAUUUCCGCCCUGCCCCUACCCGGCUACUCGGCUGCCCCAAACCUGGUUGAUUCAAGUGUACCCUUGUUACUUUGUCACCCCAUUAUUUGGUUCUAUUCAUCCUCCUUAAAACUUUUAAAACUUGAACCG
RNAcentral lists this long non-coding RNA (2059 nucleotides) under Oryza sativa (Asian cultivated rice). Its description in RNAcentral is "long non-coding RNA (OSAT_LNC000489)". Lineage: Eukaryota; Viridiplantae; Streptophyta; Magnoliopsida; Poales; Poaceae. The record is from RNAcentral.